AUACGGAGGGUGCAAACGUUGUUCGGAAUUACUGGGCGUAAAGCGCGCGUAGGCGGUUUGUUAAGUCAGAUGUGAAAGCCCAAGGCUCAACCUUGGACGUGCAUUUGAAACUGGCAGACUUGAGUACUGGAGGGGAUGGUGGAAUUCCCGGUGUAGAGGUGAAAUUCGUAGAUAUCGGGAGGAAUACCGGUGGCGAAGGCGACCAUCUGGCCAGAUACUGACGCUGAGGUGCGAAAGCAUGGGGAGCAAACGGGAUUAGAAACCCUUGUAGUCC
Molecule: ribosomal RNA, 274 nt
Filed under: uncultured bacterium
Lineage: Bacteria
Description: partial 16S ribosomal RNA
Rfam family: Bacterial small subunit ribosomal RNA
Source: RNAcentral